CCUCCUCACGUCCCCCAUGUGCCCUCGAUCGCGCCCACUCACCCCCCGCUCUCCUCGACUUCGACCUCGCCGAGGCUACGCCGCAAUUCUCUUAUUUUUUUUCUUUUCAAACCUACUACACUGCCUCUGAGGCCCUUUGUGACCCACCUCCACCUCCACCUUCAUUGCAACAGAUUUUUAACCCACAAAAUCUAUUUUUAAGAACCCGCCGUCCUCACCAUCGCCGCCGACGACGAAAAGGAAGCGUUUCUCGGCGCCAAAAAGCUCGCU
This 270-nucleotide long non-coding RNA is filed under the name Ananas comosus (pineapple). RNAcentral's name for it is "long non-coding RNA (ACOM_LNC016090)". Lineage: Eukaryota; Viridiplantae; Streptophyta; Magnoliopsida; Poales; Bromeliaceae. The record is from RNAcentral.